Molecule: long non-coding RNA, 3233 nt
Organism: Pseudopipra pipra
Lineage: Eukaryota; Metazoa; Chordata; Aves; Passeriformes; Pipridae
Exons: 2
Source: RefSeq, a predicted model, not a curated record
ACUGCUCUGGACUUUGCCGUGCUGUGCUUGGGCUCAUGCCAUGGCAUUUUGGUCAAGACCAGCUGGUUGAUGUCCACGGGAAAGUUACAGUUCCCCAUGCCUGGAAAGCACCCAGGAUAGUGUGGAGGGCAGAGUCUGCUCUGGGCUUCCACAGAAAGCAUGGGUGCCAUGGGACAAGCAGAGCAGAAAGCACCAGUCUCCUCCUUCUUAUCAGUGGGUUAGUACUCAUCUUUGGAGAAGCAAUGACAGGUGACAAGCACAGGAGGAGACCAAAGUCUCUUUGGUGGAGGUGGGAAGAUGCAGAGAAGAGGUGAGAGGGUGGCUGGGUGGCCUGUGACCCAAAAGGGCUGUGCACUGGUGGGUGCCACCAGGCAGCUCAUGGAGGGUCCUGCAAGUGAGUCAAGGGCAACUUUUGGCACACACAUGGGCUUUGGGAACAAGCCACAGAUGUUUGGAUUUGCUGUUGUACUCCUCCAUGACCUGGAGAGGAAGACCCCAAUGACUGUAAGAAUCGCUUGGAUGAAAUGCACCCUGUGUUUGGGAAAGAGCAGAGGUGUUCUGGCACAUCUCAGCAAGCUCUGAUCACCUCAAACUCUACCCACACUGCAGUGUGCCACCUGUCUGUGCCCCUGCAACCACCACAGGGCUCGUCUCUGGCUUGGGGCAGGAGGGCUGGCCGGGGUGUCCAGGUGCUGCCGUGCACAUGCUGAACUGGCCCAGCCGGCUGCCAGGCAUGCAGUGCAACCCAGGGGAUUAUUUUUUUGGUCACUGGAGCACAAACCCACACCUGGUAGUUUCACUGGCUCAUCCUGGUCAGGGCUCAGCUCUGGGGGAACUCUGUCAAGCACUUUCAUUUUGGCCCCUGUAUAACUGACAGUGGGUGACAGACAGUAACAGGGUGCUUGUGCCUAUGGCCCUCAGGCUGCUCCUGCACACUUCACCCAGGGGAACAGCACACUUAAACACUGCCUGGUCUUAAUAUGACUUAAUUGGUGCUUUCCAGAGCCUGAGUGCAUCAAGAGACCUCAAUGACCACAAGGAGCCUCAGCUGGACCCAGUCACCCUACCCACAUGCCAGGAGUGCUGUUUAAGCUCAUUAUUUAAGCUUAGUCUAGAGCCUUCACUCCCUGCCUGGCUCUGGUUCUUCUGCUUUUCUGGCUCAAUCUCAACCCCAGCUCAUUACAGAGGCUCCUUGUGGUCCCCUCCUGCCAAGGACAAGCAGCCCUCUGUGAAAAACAGACCAACGGUGCCAGGGCAGGUGGUGGUUGUCAGAGCCUCUUGCUUACCUGCAGGAGGUGCAGAACAGUCAGUGCAGCUGUUUGGCCAGUGCAGACCCUGCCUGACACCUGACCAGGAGGGCAAGACAGUACCAAACAUCCAAGUGCAGACCAGGAGCCUGCAGCACCGCUCAUGUACAAGUCUUGGCCAGACUGACGGGGUUUAGGAUGCGAGUUCAAGUCCCAGUAUCCCCUCCCUUGUGCGUGCUUAGGAAACCAGCGCACGCCCCUCCUUUGUGAGGAGCCCGCCUGUCAGUGGUCCCAGAGCGCGAAGAGGGCGGGCGCGUUGAGCGGGGACAGCCAGCAGUGCUCCACCACGCUGUACAGGGCGUAGCCCAGCACCAGCCCAAACAGCACGUCCGUCAUGUUGUGCCUGCCCAGCAUCACCCUGGAGAUGCUGACGAUGAGGGCCCAGAGCACCACGAGGACGCGCAGCGGGACAGCGAGCACCAGGUGCCGCAGGACGAAGCGGCAGACCAGGGCGGCGCGGGUGGCGUGGCCCGAGGGGAAGGAGUACUUGUCCACCGAGAUGGUGACGAACAUGUCCAUCUUGUUGUGGGUGGGCCGUGGCCGCUUCACCAGCCCCUUCACCACGGCCACCAUCACCAGGUCCAGCAGCAAUGCUAGGAGAGACAGGAGCAGUGGGUUACUGAAAGCACAGCUGUUACCUAUGAAAGCACUUGGCUUCUCGGACCUGCUAAGAGAAGGCAUUGUUUCCCAUGGCUGCAACACCCAGGCAGGGAGAGCACAGCACUCGUCUGCACUUGGCCUUCUGCAGCGUGACCACGUCCUCAACCUCUGCUCCCUCGUGCACCACCAGACCAUCUGCCUGCCACAGCCCAACAGGGCUCUGCCAGGGCUUUUGUGUAAAAUCUGAUCUCACUGUGACUCUGGGCUCAACCUGUCCCAUAACCUGAAGGCAGCAGAGGGACAACUCCCUUCCUGGCAGUGCUGACUCAGCAUUGUUCUGCCUGCCCUGGUGACUGGAGUUCAAACCUACUGGGUGAAUGAUCAACCCGCUCCAAGCACUCAGCCACAGCUCAGUGUGAGGGGCUCUGAGCUGGUGUGGUGCCAAGGGUCCUGAAGCCUGGCUUCUCCCUGCUGCUGGAGGGAAAGCUAACUGUGCUUUGGUUUUCAAGAGAUGACUAAAGGAUGAUUUAUGUAACAGUGGCUUGCCCCUGAGAAGUAAAGGCUGUUCUGGUAGAAGAUGCAAAGUACCUGUGAGAAGUGUUCACCCAGUACUUGGCAAGAGCAGCUUCUCGUGCAGGUCAGAGGGUGCUUUCUCUACCCCUGUGAGUUCUGCUUAACUCUCACAGCCAGGGCUAUUUCUUCCAGGGAAGUCAUGUAAGAGACCAGCUUCUGCUUGUCCUAAGGCUUGUUUCUGGACAACAAACCUUUUGGUCACUUCAGUUCAUUUCCUUUGGUUAAUCAUUUCAGAAGAAAUAUUUUUUUUCCUACAUGUAAACCUAGAUCAAUGACUUUUUCUCUUUUUACAUAGGAUUUGGGAGAUUCAGCUUGGACACAAGGGAACCCUCCUUCCCCCCACAGGUGCUGCAGUCCUGGCUACAGGGCCCCAGAGAGGUGGGUGGCUCUGGCCCAGAGUAUUGAGGUCUGGACAAGGCUCUGGUACGGGGACAGAUCUCCUUGGAGAAGUUAGGCUGGAGGCCUCCUGGUCCUUUCUCACAGCUCUGCUGUGGGACUGUAAUGUGCUGCCAGAUGAGAAAGAUGCACAAACCUAUGUACUUCCCACCAAGCAAAUUUCAAUUCAGAUUCUAAGUGUGAGAUACUAAUUACCUGCAACUUAAUACAAGAGUAAGAACCUGAAAAGGUCUGGUACUCUGGAGCUACUACAGUUUCUAAAUGAGCAGAAAUGAAGACUCUAUACCUAGGAUACUCUGUGUGUGUGAGUGUGAAAUAUUACACAAUGCAAGAUUAAAAUGCGUGCAUUAAACCAAA